RNAcentral lists this ribosomal RNA (529 nucleotides) under uncultured bacterium. RNAcentral's name for it is "bacterial SSU rRNA". It matches the Rfam family "Bacterial small subunit ribosomal RNA", at positions 791 to 1319 of the family's 1533-position model. The record is from RNAcentral.
UAGUCCACGCCGUAAACGAUGAGCACUAGAUAUGGGGCGAUUAAUCCGUUCCGUGUCGUAGCUAACGCAUUAAGUGCUCCGCCUGGGGAGUACGGUCGCAAGACUAAAACUCAAAGGAAUUGACGGGGGCCCGCACAAGCGGUGGAUUAUGUGGUUUAAUUCGAAGCAACGCGCAGAACCUUACCUGGGCUUAAAAUCCUGAGAAUCCUCCCGAAAAGGAGGAGUGCCCUUCGGGGAAUUCAGUGAUAGGCGCUGCAUGGCUGUCGUCAGCCCGUGUCGUGAGAUGUUGGGUUAAGUCUCGCAACGAGCGCAACCCCUAUUUUUGGUUGCCAGCAUUAAGUUGGGCACUCUAGAGAGACUGCCUGGGUUAACCAGGAGGAAGGUGGGGAUGACGUCAAGUCCUCAUGGCCCUUAUGUCCGGGGCUACACACGUAGUACAAUGGUCGGUACAGAGGGACGCCAACCCGCGAGGGGGAGCAAAUCUCAAAAAGCCGAUCUCAGUCCGGAUUGGAGUCUGCAACUCGACUCC